GACGAACGCGGCGGCGUGCUUAACACAUGCAAGUCGAACGAAGAGCGAUGGAAGCUUGCUUCUAUCAAUCUUAGUGGCGAACGGGUGAGUAACGCGUAAUCAACCUGCCCUUCAGAGGGGGACAACAGUUGGAAACGACUGCUAAUACCGCAUACGAUCUAACCUCGGCAUCGAGGAAAGAUGAAAGGUGGCCUCUAUGUAUAAGCUAUCACUGAAGGAGGGGAUUGCGUCUGAUUAGCUAGUUGGAGGGGUAACGGCCCACCAAGGCGAUGAUCAGUAGCCGGUCUGAGAGGAUGAACGGCCACAUUGGGACUGAGACACGGCCCAGACUCCUACGGGAGGCAGCAGUGGGGAAUCUUCCGCAAUGGACGAAAGUCUGACGGAGCAACGCCGCGUGAGUGAUGACGGCCUUCGGGUUGUAAAGCUCUGUUAAUCGGGACGAAAAGGCCUUCUUGCGUAUAGUGAGA
This 467-nucleotide ribosomal RNA is filed under the name Veillonella parvula. RNAcentral's name for it is "bacterial SSU rRNA". It matches the Rfam family "Bacterial small subunit ribosomal RNA", at positions 28 to 472 of the family's 1533-position model. Lineage: Bacteria; Bacillati; Bacillota; Negativicutes; Veillonellales; Veillonellaceae. The record is from RNAcentral.